GUACACAUGGUGUAGUGGUUAACACAUUCGCCUAACAGGCGGAAGGUCCCAGGUUCGAAACCUGCUGGGUACA
RNAcentral lists this transfer RNA (73 nucleotides) under Trichonephila clavipes. It matches the Rfam family "tRNA". From Rfam's summary of the family: Transfer RNA (tRNA) molecules are approximately 80 nucleotides in length. The record is from Rfam by way of RNAcentral. Lineage: Eukaryota; Metazoa; Arthropoda; Arachnida; Araneae; Nephilidae.